This is a long non-coding RNA of Medicago truncatula (barrel medic), 2133 nucleotides long. RefSeq lists it as uncharacterized. Lineage: Eukaryota; Viridiplantae; Streptophyta; Magnoliopsida; Fabales; Fabaceae. The transcript is spliced from 2 exons. The record is from RefSeq and is a predicted model, not a curated record.
UUUGUCUACCAUAUUUAAUUACCAAAAUUGCAAAAACAACUUCCCACUACCUUUUCUCCUCUUUCCUCAUUAACAAAAAUCUCUCGAACCCACUCUCCUCAUCAUACGUAUCUAUUCUCCCUCUGUUCCUCUUCCACAAAUUAUCACCCCAAAAACUCCAACUGCCUCCCUCAUCCUCCCUAAACUCCCUCUAUAUCACCCUAACUAACACCCUCGACAUCCACUCUCUCCUGCACCGUCCCACUCGCCGCAGCUCAAAACCCUACUACACCCCAUUAACGCACUUACAUCGCAGCAGAAGUUUUUCUCCUCCGUAUCACCACCAUCUACCAUGGCGGCACCAGCUCCGGCUAUUUCAUCUCCGCCGACUCCGUCUCCGAUUCCGACCCAACACUUUCUUCUUGCUCAAAUUAGAACCUCUUCUCUUUUCUCUCUCAUUUUCACACUUACAACUUACAUUGAAAGUAGUGCACACACCCUCCAUCUCUUUUUCCAACUACGACGAUGAUAUGAGCGGAUUCGACGGAUCGGAUGCGUAGAAACGAGAACCGGAUAUUAACAAGAGAAGUUAUCUCUGGAAGUCGUUGAGGUAUGCAGAUGAGUACAUACAUUUGAUGAGAAGCUAUAUAAAUUUGUUGAGGUAUGCAUCGAGUGAAUUGGAAAAACCUGAAGAAAACAAAAAUCAUUUUUUUAUUUGUGUUCUGGUUGCAGAGAAUGGUCAAUUUUCAGUUCCUAUGAGAGGUUAGUGUAUGAGGAUUAUGAUGAAAUACAUAUUGGUGAUUUUAAUCGCAUUCCUUUUUGCAUUGUGACUAUAUAUUCUUCAAAUUAUUAAAUUGUUUAGAACUAAUUAUUUUUUCAUUUUGGAACUAUUGUAUGGUUAUGCAAACUAUGUUGCUCCCUGAGCUUCUACCCGAGACUUUUUGACUUUGUAAAGUGGUCUGAUAUUAAAUUUGAUUGUAACUUUGUGAAGUGGUCUCAUAUUAUUUUUAUUUGAUUGUGACUUUGUGAAGUGGUCUGAUAUUAGUAUCAGGUACGAGUCAUUCUCUUUGAUCAAAGCUACUUUGCAUUCUAAGUGUAUGAUAAAAGGAUCGCUUGAAUUUAGUUGAGGUUUGUUGAUGGCUAGUCCCAUUCAUAUUUUCUUCUCUAUAUUUGUUUAACUUUUGGCAUCAAUUAAUAUAUUUGUUAUAGAUUGUUUUGAUUUUUUUAAAAUGGAGAGUUUUAAUAUGAUGACAAGUGAUAGUUUUUCUUUUAUUUGCAAUGAGAUUUCAGUGCUAAUGUAUAUGCCAUAUUAUUAGGAAAAAAAAAUAGUUGAACUUAAGAUUGUUGUAUACUCCAAUUUUAAGUUUUAAUAUAUGAGAUUUCAUGUUGUUAACACAUGCCUUAUUUGCUGCUUCCUAUUGGCUUUUAUUUAUUUCCAUGAUCAAUGUGUGUGUCUGAGGGAAAACAAAGAUUAAUUGAAUCUUUUUUCUUAUUGGGACUGUAUAGUUUUUAUAGGUGGUGUGGAGUUGUGAUAUCAAAGGCUUUUAAAACUAAGGUCACUUUCCCAAAGACUAAAGAUUUCCAAAACUUUUCACUUUGUAAGGCCGAAAAUACUGUGUGGUUCUUCCAGUUUGUGCAUUGCAGGGAGGAGAUGAAGGUUAUUUCAAUGCCAGUCACACAACUGGCAGCUUGGCCGCGCACCACCCACACCGCAAUACAUGGCUGAGAAAGAGAUUAAAGAUGAGAAUUAAGUCAUUGACAGGACCAAGGUUGUUAAAAUCGCGAUCUAACACCCAAGAUCGUACGAUCUUGCAAUUCCGAUGGCCAUCACCGAUCUGCAGCGGUUAGGAGAUCGGAAACGACAGCGGAGCGGACGAUUCGCCGAGGAAAAUCGAAAGAUCGCAGAAUCGACGCUCUUCUGCGUUUUCUGCAAUGGUUUUUGACCCGGUUCAGAGGUUGAUGACCAUUCCCGGGUUUGACCCAAACGUGUUUUGUGCCUUUUUUUUUUGUGCAAGCUUUUUCAUUUCUUAUUCCCUGAAACUGUUGAUUUCAUUAAACCCAUUAAUUAUUUAGUCAAAAUAAUAACUCAGUUUGUUAUAGAAAUCAUCUCAAUAAACCCACUAAGCAAUAAUUGUGGAAACUUAUUAAUACACC